This 212-nucleotide unclassified non-coding RNA is filed under the name plant metagenome. RNAcentral describes it as "partial contains small subunit ribosomal RNA and internal transcribed spacer 1". The stretch from base 1 to 46 matches the Rfam family "Eukaryotic small subunit ribosomal RNA", at positions 1786 to 1831 of the family's 1831-position model. The record is from RNAcentral.
AAGUCGUAACAAGGUUUCCGUAGGUGAACCUGCGGAAGGAUCAUUAGUGAAUUGAAUAUGUUAGCGGACCUCUUCGGAGUCCCUAGCAUCAAAUCAUAUCCAUAACACCUGUGAACUGUAAGGCUGUCUUGAGAACGAAAGUGAUUAGAGCGCCUGCCCAUUUUAUACAAACAUUAAAGUAACAAACGUAGUCUUAUUGUAAUCUAAUAAAA